This 461-nucleotide ribosomal RNA is filed under the name uncultured bacterium. RNAcentral's name for it is "partial 16S ribosomal RNA". It matches the Rfam family "Bacterial small subunit ribosomal RNA", at positions 33 to 507 of the family's 1533-position model. The record is from RNAcentral.
AUACACGCUGGCGGCGUGCUUAACCCAUGCAAGUCGAACGAAGUUUUUCCUUCGGGAGAAACUUAGUGGCGGACGGGUGAGUAACGCGUGGGUAACCUGCCCUGUACAGGGGGACAACAGCUGGAAACGGCUGCUAAUACCGCAUAAGCCCUUAGCACUGCAUGGUGCAUAGGGAAAAGGAGCAAUCCGGUACAGGAUGGACCCGCGUCUGAUUAGCCAGUUGGCAGGGUAACGGCCUACCAAAGCGACGAUCAGUAGCCGAUCUGAGAGGAUGUACGGCCACAUUGGGACUGAGACACGGCCCAGACUCCUACGGGAGGCAGCAGUGGGGAAUAUUGCACAAUGGAGGAAACUCUGAUGCAGCGACGCCGCGUGAGUGAAGAAGUAUUUCGGUAUGUAAAGCUCUAUCAGCAGGGAAGAAAAUGACGGUACCUGACUAAGAAGCACCGGCUAAAUACGUG